UUAAAUUGAAGAGUUUGAUCAUGGCUCAGAUUGAACGCUGGCGGCGGGCCUAACACAUGCAAGUCGAACGGUAACAGGAAGCAGCUUGCUGCUU
This 94-nucleotide ribosomal RNA is filed under the name Salmonella enterica. RNAcentral describes it as "partial 16S ribosomal RNA". It matches the Rfam family "Bacterial small subunit ribosomal RNA", at positions 1 to 88 of the family's 1533-position model. Lineage: Bacteria; Pseudomonadati; Pseudomonadota; Gammaproteobacteria; Enterobacterales; Enterobacteriaceae. RNAcentral also lists the same sequence under 1 other name. The record is from RNAcentral.